RNAcentral lists this non-coding RNA (181 nucleotides) under Verrucomicrobiia bacterium. Its description in RNAcentral is "6S RNA". It matches the Rfam family "6S / SsrS RNA". Rfam says of the family: E. coli 6S RNA was the first non coding RNA to be sequenced, but its function was unknown until recently. It consists of 184 nucleotides that fold into an extended hairpin structure with a large single-stranded internal bulge. The record is from RNAcentral. Lineage: Bacteria; Pseudomonadati; Verrucomicrobiota; Verrucomicrobiia.
AUUUCCCUGCCCUGUUCGUGAAUCGGACGGAUACUCUUUGAGCCGAUAGUUUGCACAAGGGGACCCCUCUCCUGUCGCGACCGACACGCCCUUCUCGGGAAGUCGAAUGCGCCGGGGCGGUCACCCACCCUGUAACCCAGGGUUCAAAGUUCUCGUCCUCCUACGGCAGGGCGGGGUUUUU